RNAcentral lists this ribosomal RNA (496 nucleotides) under uncultured bacterium. Its description in RNAcentral is "partial 16S ribosomal RNA". It matches the Rfam family "Bacterial small subunit ribosomal RNA", at positions 28 to 506 of the family's 1533-position model. The record is from RNAcentral.
GAUGAACGCUGGCGGCGUGCCUAAUACAUGCAAGUCGAGCGAACAGACGAGGAGCUUGCUCCUCUGACGUUAGCGGCGGACGGGUGAGUAACACGUGGAUAACCUACCUAUAAGACUGGGAUAACUUCGGGAAACCGGAGCUAAUACCGGAUAAUAUAUUGAACCGCAUGGUUCAAUAGUGAAAGACGGUUUUGCUGUCACUUAUAGAUGGAUCCGCGCCGCAUUAGCUAGUUGGUAAGGUAACGGCUUACCAAGGCGACGAUGCGUAGCCGACCUGAGAGGGUGAUCGGCCACACUGGAACUGAGACACGGUCCAGACUCCUACGGGAGGCAGCAGUAGGGAAUCUUCCGCAAUGGGCGAAAGCUUGACGGAGCAACGCCGCGUGAGUGAUGAAGGUCUUCGGAUCGUAAAACUCUGUUAUUAGGGAAGAACAAAUGUGUAAGUAACUAUGCACGUCUUGACGGUACCUAAGCAGAAAGCCACGGCUAACUACGU